GACGAACGCUGGCGGCGUGCUUAACACAUGCAAGUCGAACGGAAAGGCCCUGCUUUUGUGGGGUGCUCGAGUGGCGAACGGGUGAGUAACACGUGAGUAACCUGCCCUUGACUUUGGGAUAACUUCAGGAAACUGGGGCUAAUACCGGAUAGGAGCUCCUGCUGCAUGGUGGGGGUUGGAAAGUUUCGGCGGUUGGGGAUGGACUCGCGGCUUAUCAGCUUGUUGGGGGGGUAGUGGCUUACCAAGGCUUUGACGGGUAGCCGGCCUGAGGGGGUGACCGGCCACAUUGGGACUGAGAUACGGCCCAGACUCCUACGGGAGGCAGCAGUGGGGAAUAUUGCACAAUGGGCGGAAGCCUGAUGCAGCAACGCCGCGUGCGGGAUGACGGCCUUCGGGUUGUAAACCGCUUUCGCCUGUGACGAAGCGUGAGUGACGGUAAUGGGUAAAGAAGCACCGGCUAACUACGUG
Molecule: ribosomal RNA, 468 nt
Filed under: uncultured bacterium
Lineage: Bacteria
Description: partial 16S ribosomal RNA
Rfam family: Bacterial small subunit ribosomal RNA
Source: RNAcentral